UCUUGGAGGUGAAAAUUCAAUUUGGUUUGAGCUUUAACUAAAAUUCAGUUAUCAUAUAACUCUUUUCAAAUAAAUUUAAUUCUUUAAUUUGUUUAAAAUUAUAUAAAAUAAAGAAUAAUAAUCUAAAAUCAGGUAUAAAUUAUUAUAAAACAUUGCAUUAUAUCCAACAACAUAUAAUAACAUAAUAAUAUAUUUUAAUGUCAUAAGUACGAUAAAAUAUAAAAUUAGCACAUAUCAUCAUAUCUCAUACUGUAUAAUUUUUUUUGACCAUCAACAGUGGCAAUACCAUUUAUCUAAUUGCCAUGAGAGUAGUUAGGAUAUAACCUUAUCAAUGACUUAAAAAUUCCUCUGCAAAAUAAAUAUGAAAAGAUUAUAGAAAAACAAAUAGUAAAUAAAUAACAUGUAUCUUAUUAACAAAUUUCUAUACUGACCUAAAUAAUUUCUUAAAAUCAUAUUCAAUAUGCUUCCACCAUCCAUCAUCUGAUUCUUCUUUAAAAUUACGAUAAAUACAAGAGUACUAACUUUUAAGUCUGAUUUUAUCUCCUCUAAAACCAUCAUGUAUCCAUCAAUAAAUUUUACCCUAACUACAUGCUCAUUCAAAAUUUCUAAUAUAAAUUGUUGAUAUUAUGCAAUUGUAACAUGGGGAGAUCAUAACACACUAAAAACAUACUUUUUAUUGGCGAAUUGAUCAUUUUCAAGUAUAAUUUUUGAUAAAUGAGCUUGACAAACUGCACAAGAUUCAUUUUCUCUAUAUAUCCAAUAACCAAUUUGGCAUUUUGUUUCCUUAAAAAAAAGUUCAAAACAAUGGAUACAGAAAUAUUAAAAAGAAAGAUGCUAAAAGCUGAAAUAAUUAUAAAAAAAAUUAAUGUACAAUAAAUAAAUAAUAUAUCAUGUACUAACAUUUAAGACUGAUUUACCUAACAACUUAAAAACAUUAACUUUGAAAAUGAACUAAAUUAUAAGUUUCCUCGACACAAAAACUUUCGCAUGCAAAAUCUAUUAUUGAAGGCAUAGAGUUUCAAGUCUUGAGGGUUUUUAAUCAAUCAAAAUUAAUGUAGAACAGUUUACAGAAAGUUGUUCAACAUCAAUAAGUUUACCAUUUCAAUGGCAUCUGUCAACAAUGAAAACAUGUGAAAAAUUGUAAACUAUGAGUUGUAGCUAAGAGGAGAAAAUAAUGACAAGAAAGACUUGUUAAGCUAAAUAAAAGGUGAUGAAAGUAAGUUAACGAGGUGAAAGAACAUUGAGAAAAAGAAAGGGAUUCUUGUAUUGAAAAAUUACUACUGUAAAACUCAAAAAUAGCUAAGAUAAAUUUCAAUAUAACACAACUCUUCGUUAGCUAUCUAAAAGUGAGGUAGUUAUAAGAGAAUUAUCGUAGUUUAACAUAUUCUUAAUGACUUCGUGAAAAGCUACUUAACUAACUUAACUUAGCUAUUAUACAAAAAGAUAAUUUCAAAUAAUGUGUUGUAAUCUUAUAAAAAAAUAAAAAAAA
RNAcentral lists this unclassified non-coding RNA (1489 nucleotides) under Hevea brasiliensis (rubber tree). The record is from RNAcentral. Lineage: Eukaryota; Viridiplantae; Streptophyta; Magnoliopsida; Malpighiales; Euphorbiaceae.